This 112-nucleotide ribosomal RNA is filed under the name Caerostris extrusa. The record is from RNAcentral. Lineage: Eukaryota; Metazoa; Arthropoda; Arachnida; Araneae; Araneidae. RNAcentral also lists the same sequence under 1 other name.
AACGGCCAUACCAUGCUGAAUAUACCGGUUCUCGUUAGAUCACCGAAGUCAAGCAUCAUUGGGCGCGGUCAGUACUUGGGUGGGUGACCACCUGGGAACACUGCGUGCCGUU